CCCGCCCCCACCAAACUGCCAAGCUCUCACCUGAUGCGGUCACUGGUGCCGCUGUAGCCCCAGCGGCUCUCCACCUGCUGGAACCGGUUAAUGCUACACUCCUUGCCCCGCAGGCAACACCGGGGCCGGUCGAUGAACUCCACACGCGGCUUGGGGUUGACAGUAAAAUGUAGGAAGAGGCUGACCACCUCCCGGUCCACCAGGAUGCCUGACUGUGCCGGGCCUGCGGGCAGAGGGCUGGCUGACAGCAGGAAGGGAAGGCAGACUCAGGACCUGGCCUCAGGGUGGGGUAUCUCAUUGUCAGGACCUGGCUAAGUAGAGGGGUGCCUCCUUCCUGGGACCCACCACAAUAUCUUUCUGCCUGGCAUUUUGGGCUGGUAGACUCCCACAUGUGUGAGUCUCUCUAGACCUCUGCCGUAGAACACCCUUGCUUUAUACUGGGUAGAACUUGUACCCUGCCUGUCCAUGCACAGGCUCCUAGGCCGAAGCGGGUUACUUCACAGCCAGUCUCAUCGCGCCGCAGCUUCCUAAAGCCUUUCCAGGGCCGACCCCAAACCUAUGCAUGUUGGGCAACUCAUCUACCAACGGAGUCCCAGCCCAAAGCUGAAUCCUGAGUGGCUGAUAAGACACGGCCUGCCCAUCCCCCAUGUCUGGAGACCCCAGAGUCUCAGGCAGUAUCCUCAAGCCAUAGCCUGAUGGGUGUGGGUCAGAGGCGCUGGUGGGCAGGCGGGGCUGUGGGAGCAGUGGCCGCCAUUCAAGUCUGUUACCUGCGGCAAACUCCUCGAUGGUCAUCAGGGGGAAUCGGAUGAGACUCAGGGCCUUGCCCAGCACCUUCCUCUUGUUCUCGGGUGUCACCUGAAGCUGCUGCCGUUGACACUCAGCCUCAGACCAGCGCACGACUGCAUUGAAGAGCCGAACCUCACGAAUGCCCAGGGUAUCCCGCUCCAGCACUGCCACCAGCGUGUCUGUGGUAGAGAGAGGCUGUGAACCCCGGGCUUAGUCUGGAAGCUGCUGUAUCCUCCCAGAGCACACCCACCUGUGUGAGCAGCAUGAAGGCAUUGUCAGCCCGCAGGUGCUUCUUCAGGAACUCCACACAGUGGGCCUCGAGCGCGGGCACUGCGUACUUCUUGGCCGUGUACAGUGUGGUCAUCACUGUCUCUGGCCCGAUCUGCACUUCAUCUGAGUACAGGAACCUGCAGGAGACACAGACUGUGACAGAGUGACCACCACAGCCACUCCGCUUGACCAGGCACCACAGGUUUGCAAAGCACUGUUCAGGAACCUCCUAGAGUUGGCAUCUGUCGUCUGUUGUCUGCUGACCUGGGGAUGCCCCUUGGUAAGGCCAGGCUGUCACCCAGGAGAUGCCUACGCGCAGGCCGCCCUGAGCUAACAAAGGCUGAGUGUAGGCACUCAUGGGUAAAUCGCAGGCUGAUGGACCUCAGGCCCCAGUGGGGACAGCAUGGUUAUCUACACCACACUGGUCACGGGCUAGGUGGGCACCAGCCCUUGGAUUCCAUCUCAGCACCACAGCUUAAGCAUGGCACAUAGCACGUUUGACAUUUUUGGAUACAGGCUAUUUCAAAACAACAAAGUUAAAAGUGUUCUUGUAAAAGAUUAAAAACAAUGUGUGUAUGUGCACUGUGUAAAGAGUGUGGCCUGAAGAGCCAGAGGGUGUCGAACCCCCGGAACUGGACUUGGUGGGGCCUGAGUGCUGGGACACUGCCAUCUCUCCCAUAAAGUACUCCAAGAAGCCGUGAGGUUAAAAACUCUGUCUCUUCUCCAGGAAAGCUCUAGCACCCUGCCCUGGGUGGGCUCUACAGGCAUCUCUAGGUGUUUGUCUGUCUUUCCUCACUCUACUACCCACCACGGUCAGAAACACUUGGACACGUACUUGAGCAGCGCCAGGAAGGCAGCAGGUUCCACAUCAGGCAGCUCAAUCUCGGUGGACGUGGUAGCCAUCCCACCAUUGAACAUGGCGUCAAAGACAGCGCUUCCCACAGCUAGCACAAACCUACGUAAGAAGAGAGGGUAUCUGUCCAUUAGUCCUGCUGGUGGACUCUACCCCACCUAGGCCAGCCAGUGUCCCCUGCCACACCUGCCUACAGAGACUCCUGCCAACCCUGGCAGAGGCCUUUCCAGACCUCGGGUCCUUCUAGGAGGGAACCGGAAAGAAGGCUGUAGAGCGGCCAGCAUGAGGGGCAGCCUAUACUUCUUUAUGUGCGUCUCCCUCCUACCCCUCCCUCAGCCCUUUUGCUCACUGGUGUGCACUAGCACCCUCUCAGGAACUUGUGUCCUCCCAACCACCCCCACUCCCUUCCCCACCCUCAUUUCUCUAGGCCUUGGCGACAAGCUUGGGGACCUGAUUCUCACCAUGGGGAAGCAGACAAAACCCCAGUGCCUAGACAGCCUAGGUCAGAGGCCACAAGCUCAGGGAGGGUGCUAAAGCUUGGGGGACAGCGGGGCCUGUGGUGCUGUGAGGAAAUGAGAAGCAAUGGGGUCAUGUGACUGCCGUGACCACUCCAGCUGGUGCAGUGUAGAUGGGCCGAGGCAUGAUGGAUGGUGAUGGUGGCCAGCCUCAAGACCCCCAGUGACUUGGCUCAGGACACAGCUCGCGUUCUAAGAGAAGACAAUGAUCACAGGGCCAGCCCAGAGCCCUGUCAUGCAUGAGUGUGGAAAUGCCUGUUGAGUUCAUAAGAAUAAGCUUGCUCUGUGAAUAUGUGCCCCACCCAGUUGUCCCCACGGUGACAGGGUGGUUCUGAGUAGCCUCUCCAGCUGGACACCCUGGCUAGGCAGAUGGCCCCAUGCACCAUGGGUAAGGCAGAGCCA
This is a long non-coding RNA of Mus musculus (house mouse), 2826 nucleotides long. RefSeq annotates it as predicted gene, 51810. NCBI's taxonomy places the organism in Eukaryota, Metazoa, Chordata, Mammalia, Rodentia, Muridae. The transcript has 2 exons. The record is from RefSeq and is a predicted model, not a curated record.